UGGAAUAGAAUGUCUGAGUGAAUUGGGAACAAUCACACCCAUCACCGUGUUGCUUCUCUGUUGUGGGCACGGGCUGGCUCAGGGAACCCACGGUGCCCAGGGCAGAACCAAAACUGGCAUGCAGGAAAAGUCUUCUGACACAAAUAAGAAAUGGCUUCAAGUGGAGUAUUCCUGCCACGUCGACUAAACACCUUCUCUCUGGAGCCAGGGAGCCUGGCACACCCAGCUGGCCCAGCUUACAAGCUUUUGGGACCACAGAAAGAAGAAAGACAGAGAACUCAGCAAGUCUUUCACAUGCCAGAUGAGGAUCCGGAUGCAGCUCUCAGCUACUGCUCCAGAGCAGUGAGGUCCUAUCACGCUCCCUGGUGUGAUGCUAAUGGACUGGCCCUCUGAAACUAGCACAUCUUGCAUCUAUCUGCCGUUGGCCUUCAUGCUGUUGGUGACUCAGGGCAG
Mus musculus (house mouse) is the source of this 453-nucleotide long non-coding RNA. RefSeq annotates it as predicted gene, 38873. The record is from RefSeq and is a predicted model, not a curated record. NCBI's taxonomy places the organism in Eukaryota, Metazoa, Chordata, Mammalia, Rodentia, Muridae. The transcript has 4 exons.